Molecule: long non-coding RNA, 322 nt
Organism: Bradysia coprophila
Lineage: Eukaryota; Metazoa; Arthropoda; Insecta; Diptera; Sciaridae
Source: RefSeq, a predicted model, not a curated record
UAUUCGGAAGAGAGAUAAUUUAUAAUUCUGUUGUUCUUUCUCAAUAUUAUUUAUCUGAUAACAACUGAAUUGUGCGCCGACGAAAGAUAUCCUUUUUUCUGCGAGUGUGCCUUUGAUUCUUUUCUUUUUCGGUUGUGCUUUCAAGAAGCUUUGCGUGUUUGUAAAAACUGGAAAGAUUAAAGGCAGACUUAAACUGUAGUCGAGACAGGAAACCAACAAAAUAACCUUUUCAAAGAGAUUACUUCAAUAAUUCAUGCACACAACACACGCACACAUUCAUUAACACACAAUGCUGGAAUGCUGAUGGGUAUUGCGACUUAUA